CGAGCCAACUCUCCUGGCCAUUUCUCUUCACCUGUGAUAACAAAAUGUGUGUUGUGUGCAUUAGGGAGGCGGACAUAUGGUCUCAGCCCUUGAGUAGUUUUCGUAAUAGUUACUGGUCCUGAUGGCUCAAGUCCUUAGGCCUUCUAGUGACAGAGAGGUGCCAAUAUGCCCUGGUUUGUGUGGUUGGUACAAGAUUUCCUGGACGUUGUCAGUGAAGUUUGGAAAUGCAUGGAUACCACAAAAUAUUUAACAAGUCAAAAUGUAAAAGAAUGUCCUUGGUCCUGAAAAAAAUGACAAGAGCAACUGGCUGAGUGGAAAGGAAAGGUGGAGUAGGGGAAGAUGGACUUGACCGUUUUCAUCUGUCGGUAAAGGAAUUCAGCUGCAUCCUCCUGAGCCAGCUCGGCUGGUACCCACCCCUCCCCCAGCUUGGGAUGGUCUCAUUCCUGCCACCGCCAUUGUACUUCUCCUUGUGAUCAACACCAUUCACGUCUCAUUCCGGGAAACUAAGCGCAUCAUUUUUAGCACUGAUGACAUUUUACAAUGGUUGUUUUCAUUGUAUAUUUUUCUUUAUUAAGUGAGAGUCUGAGAUGACUGUGAGUCUAAGAAGAUUAAGAGGUCUUUUGUGCCCCAGCCCUGUUAGCUGAUCAGUGACUCCAAAUUCUCUGUAAAGAUUUUAGCUUAUAAAUCAGUGAGUUGUCAGUACAAUUUUUUUUAAAGACAUGUUACCUGGCAGGCAAAUAUGCUAACAUGAGGAACUGACAGUUCGUGCAUGGGUUAUUCAGUCCCUUAAUUGCUGCUUCUCUCACUGCCCUCCCUGUUUGUAUCAGAUCUGUCUUUUAGGAAAAGGCAUGAACACGAGGAAGUUUUAUAAAUUGUCUCUGAUGGAGAUUGGUUCCUUCCUCUUCCUUUCUCUCCAUUAAUAAUUAAUUGUUGAUCAUGAGUUCCGAGCCUUUCUCUCGCUCUCAUUUUUUUAGAGAAAGAAAAUGUUAUGCAUUAAGUUGUGUCAUUACAGUAUCAUAGCAGACUUGUAGGCUAUGCCCCACAGUUAAGAAGGUGGAGUAUCGAAAACUCAGUCACAUGUAAUCCCACUAUUAAUUGUCUGGUAGUCACAGUAUCUGUGAAGUAUCAACAAAUGUUCGCUUGUUACUGUGAAAUUACCUUUUGCAAAACAUGUGUGUUUGUACAGAAUAGCAUACUUUCAAAAAUGAGUUACUUUAGCUAAUUAUUUGUUAAUUUCGGUUUGCUUAUGUGUCU
Molecule: long non-coding RNA, 1254 nt
Organism: Artibeus jamaicensis (Jamaican fruit-eating bat)
Lineage: Eukaryota; Metazoa; Chordata; Mammalia; Chiroptera; Phyllostomidae
Exons: 3
Source: RefSeq, a predicted model, not a curated record